Long non-coding RNA from Pan paniscus (pygmy chimpanzee), 127 nucleotides. The record is from Ensembl. NCBI's taxonomy places the organism in Eukaryota, Metazoa, Chordata, Mammalia, Primates, Hominidae.
CUGAUAACAGAUGUGAUUUCCAGCUGUGUCUAUAUACCAACCAUAUGGGAGAGAGAAACAGUUCACAAAAAAAUUGACCUAGUAUGAAUUCCUAUUCAUAUUUUUUCAAAGCCUUCCAUAGCCUGUA